UAAUGUAUGGGGAUCUGCCCGAUAGAGGGGGAUAACUACUGGAAACGGUGGCUAAUACCGCAUAAUGUCUACGGACCAAAGCAGGGGCUCUUCGGACCUUGCACUAUCGGAUGAACCCAUAUGGGAUUAGCUAGUAGGUGGGGUAAAGGCUCACCUAGGCGACGAUCUCUAGCUGGUCUGAGAGGAUGAUCAGCCACACUGGGACUGAGACACGGCCUAG
This 220-nucleotide ribosomal RNA is filed under the name uncultured bacterium. RNAcentral describes it as "partial 16S ribosomal RNA". It matches the Rfam family "Bacterial small subunit ribosomal RNA", at positions 111 to 334 of the family's 1533-position model. The record is from RNAcentral.